Molecule: ribosomal RNA, 482 nt
Filed under: uncultured bacterium
Lineage: Bacteria
Description: bacterial SSU rRNA
Rfam family: Bacterial small subunit ribosomal RNA
Source: RNAcentral
UUGAACGCUGGCGGAAUGCUUUACACAUGCAAGUCGAGCGGCAGCGCGGGGGCAACCCUGGCGGCGAGCGGCGAACGGGUGAGUAAUGUAUCGGAACGUACCCUGUCGUGGGGGAUAACACAGCGAAAGCUGUGCUAAUACCGCAUACGACCUGAGGGUGAAAGCGGGGGAUCGCAAGACCUCGCGCGAUAGGAGCGGCCGAUAUCGGAUUAGCUUGUUGGUGAGGUAAAGGCUCACCAAGGCGACGAUCCGUAGCUGGUCUGAGAGGACGACCAGCCACACUGGAACUGAGACACGGUCCAGACUCCUACGGGAGGCAGCAGUGGGGAAUUUUGGACAAUGGGGGCAACCCUGAUCCAGCCAUUCCGCGUGAGUGAAGAAGGCCUUCGGGUUGUAAAGCUCUUUCAGCAGGAACGAAACGGUGGCUACUAAUACUAGCUACUAAUGACGGUACCUGAAGAAGAAGCACCGGCUAACUACGU